RNAcentral lists this ribosomal RNA (398 nucleotides) under uncultured bacterium. RNAcentral describes it as "bacterial SSU rRNA". It matches the Rfam family "Bacterial small subunit ribosomal RNA", at positions 29 to 424 of the family's 1533-position model. The record is from RNAcentral.
AACGAACGCUGGCGGCAUGCCUAACACAUGCAAGUCGAACGGCAGCACGGGAGCAAUCCUGGUGGCGAGUGGCGAACGGGUGAGUAAUAUAUCGGAACGUGCCCAGUCGUGGGGAUAACGUAGCGAAAGCUACGCUAAUACCGCAUACGAUCUAUGGAUGAAAGCGGGGGAUCGCAAGACCUCAUGCUCAUGGAGCGGCCGAUAUCUGAUUAGCUAGUUGGUGGGGUAAAGGCCUACCAAGGCAUCGAUCAGUAGCUGGUCNGAGAGGACGACCAGCCACACUGGAACUGAGACACGGUCCAGACUCCUACGGGAGGCAGCAGUGGGGAAUUUGGACAAAUGGGGGCGAACCCUGAUCCAGCAAUAGCCGCGUGUGGUGAAGAAGGUACUUCGGAGUU